GAAGAUCUGUGGCUCAGUGGCAGAGCUUCUGCCUCACAUGCAGAAGGUCCGAGGUUCGAUCCCCAGCAUCUCCA
This is a non-coding RNA of Podarcis lilfordi (Lilford's wall lizard), 74 nucleotides long. The record is from the annotation of a GenBank genome assembly. Lineage: Eukaryota; Metazoa; Chordata; Lepidosauria; Squamata; Lacertidae.